GCAUUUUUAGCUCAACUGGAUAGAGCAUUAGCCUUCUAAGCUGCAGGUUAUAGGUUCGAGUCCUAUAAAAUGUU
This 74-nucleotide transfer RNA is filed under the name Guinardia delicatula. RNAcentral's name for it is "tRNA-Arg". It matches the Rfam family "tRNA". Rfam says of the family: Transfer RNA (tRNA) molecules are approximately 80 nucleotides in length. Their secondary structure includes four short double-helical elements and three loops (D, anti-codon, and T loops). The record is from RNAcentral. Lineage: Eukaryota; Bacillariophyta; Coscinodiscophyceae; Rhizosoleniales; Rhizosoleniaceae.